This 253-nucleotide ribosomal RNA is filed under the name uncultured bacterium. RNAcentral describes it as "partial 16S ribosomal RNA". It matches the Rfam family "Bacterial small subunit ribosomal RNA", at positions 524 to 776 of the family's 1533-position model. The record is from RNAcentral.
UACGUAGGGCGCAAGCGUUGUCCGGAAUUAUUGGGCGUAAAGAGCUCGUAGGCGGCUUGUCACGUCGGAUGUGAAAGCCCGAGGCUUAACCUCGGGUCUGCAUUCGAUACGGGCUAGCUAGAGUGUGGUAGGGGAGAUCGGAAUUCCUGGUGUAGCGGUGAAAUGCGCAGAUAUCAGGAAGAACACCCGUGGCUAAGGCGGUUCUCUAGUACGGUACUGACGCUGAGACGCGAAAGCGUGGGGAGCGAACAGG